Molecule: ribosomal RNA, 516 nt
Filed under: uncultured bacterium
Lineage: Bacteria
Description: bacterial SSU rRNA
Rfam family: Bacterial small subunit ribosomal RNA
Source: RNAcentral
CUUAGCAGAGAUGCUUUGGUGCCUUCGGGAACUCUGAGACAGGUGCUGCAUGGCUGUCGUCAGCUCGUGUUGUGAAAUGUUGGGUUAAGUCCCGCAACGAGCGCAACCCUUAUCCUUUGUUGCCAGCGGGUUAUGCCCGGGGAACUCAAAGGAGACUGCCAGUGAUAAACUGGAGGAAGGUGGGGAUGACGUCAAGUCAUCAUGGCCCUUACGAGUAGGGCUACACACGUGCUACAAUGGCGCAUACAAAGAGAAGCGACCUCGCGAGAGCAAGCGGACCUCAUAAAGUGCGUCGUAGUCCGGAUUGGAGUCUGCAACUCGACUCCAUGAAGUCGGAAUCGCUAGUAAUCGUAGAUCAGAAUGCUACGGUGAAUACGUUCCCGGGCCUUGUACACACCGCCCGUCACACCAUGGGAGUGGGUUGCAAAAGAAGUAGGUAGCUUAACCUUCGGGAGGGCGCUUACCACUUUGUGAUUCAUGACUGGGGUGAAGUCGUAACAAGGUAAGCGUAGUGCU